GACGAACGCUGGCGGCGUGCCUAAUACAUGCAAGUUGAGCGCUGAAGGUUGGUACUUGUACCAACUGGAUGAGCAGCGAACGGGUGAGUAACGCGUGGGUAAUCUGCCUUUGAGCGGGGGACAACAUUUGGAAACGAAUGCUAAUACCGCAUAAAAACUUUAAACACAAGUUUUAAGUUUGAAAGAUGCUAUUGCAUCACUCAAAGAUGAUCCCGCGUUGUAUUAGCUAGUUGGUUAGGUAAAGGCUCACCAAGGCGAUGAUACAUAGCCGACCUUAGAGGGUGAUCGGCCACAUUUGGACUGAGACACGGCCCAAACUCCUACGGGAAGCAGCAGUAGGGGAUCUUCGGCCAUGGACGAAAGUCUGACCGAGCAACGCCGCGUGAGUGAAGAAGGUUUUCGGAUUGUAAAACUCUGUUGGUAGAGAAGAACGAUGGUGAGAGUGAAAAGCUCAUGAAGUGACGGUAACUACCCAGAAAGGGACGGCUAACUACGUG
This 497-nucleotide ribosomal RNA is filed under the name uncultured bacterium. RNAcentral describes it as "partial 16S ribosomal RNA". It matches the Rfam family "Bacterial small subunit ribosomal RNA", at positions 28 to 507 of the family's 1533-position model. The record is from RNAcentral.